RNAcentral lists this long non-coding RNA (522 nucleotides) under Rattus norvegicus (Norway rat). Its description in RNAcentral is "long non-coding RNA NONRATT033037". Lineage: Eukaryota; Metazoa; Chordata; Mammalia; Rodentia; Muridae. The record is from RNAcentral.
AUUUUGUUGAAUAAAUUGAGACAUUUGUCAUGCAAGACUUUGACCCCCCCCCCCAUUUCGUUGACUUCUGUUUGUUUCAGAGUUCGUUAUUUAGCCAAGGAAAGUAUAACUCAGGACCCCAAAGACAGCACUGUCUCUUUUGUACAACCCAAUGGAGCCAUCUUUGAGCCUUCACUGUCUGUUGGAACAGAGAAUGACAACUUCACAGUUCUCAAUCUGGCUGUGGCAGCUGUACCACAUAUCUACCAAAACUCAUUUUUUCAAGGUGUGCUCAACAUAUUUAUCAAAAAGUCCAAGUCUUCUAUGUUCCAAACACGAAGUUUGAAAGAACUCUUGUGGGGUUAUGAAGAUCCAUUCUUGAGUUUGAUUCCAUAUCCUAUAAGUACCACAGUUGGUGUGUUUUAUCCUGUAAGUACCAAAUAUAAAUGUUUGUUAUAUUUUUAAGUAUGUUAAUAAAAUGAUAAUGGGAAACAUUUAUAAUUUCACAUAUUAUUAGCCUUACUAGUUAAUCUGUGAACAUAU